CGGUGAUCUAGCCAUGGGCAGGUUGAAGGUUGGGUAACACUAACUGGAGGACCGAACCGACUAAUGUUGAAAAAUUAGCGGAUGACCUGUGGCUGGGGGUGAAAGGCCAAUCAAACCGGGAGAUAGCUGGUUCUCCCCGAAAGCUAUUUAGGUAGCGCCUCGUGAAUUCAUCUCCGGGGGUAGAGCACUGUUUCGGCUAGGGGGCCAUCCCGGCUUACCAACCCGAUGCAAACUGCGAAUACCGGAGAAUGUUAUCACGGGAGACACACGGCGGGUGCUAACGUCCGUCGUGAAGAGGGAAACAACCCAGACCGCCAGCUAAGGUCCCAAAGUCAUGGUUAAGUGGGAAACGAUGUGGGAAGGCCCAGACAGCCAGGAUGUUGGCUUAGAAGCAGCCAUCAUUUAAAGAAAGCGUAAUAGCUCACUGGUCGAGUCGGCCUGCGCGGAAGAUGUAACGGGGCUAAACCAUGCACCGAAGCUGCGGCAGCGACACUGUGUGUUGUUGGGUAGGGGAGCGUUCUGUAAGCCUGUGAAGGUGUGUCGUGAGGCA
Molecule: ribosomal RNA, 550 nt
Filed under: Salmonella enterica subsp. enterica serovar Enteritidis
Lineage: Bacteria; Pseudomonadati; Pseudomonadota; Gammaproteobacteria; Enterobacterales; Enterobacteriaceae
Description: partial 23S ribosomal RNA
Rfam family: Bacterial large subunit ribosomal RNA
Source: RNAcentral